RNAcentral lists this ribosomal RNA (253 nucleotides) under uncultured bacterium. RNAcentral describes it as "partial 16S ribosomal RNA". It matches the Rfam family "Bacterial small subunit ribosomal RNA", at positions 524 to 776 of the family's 1533-position model. The record is from RNAcentral.
UACGGAGGGGGCUAGCGUUGUUCGGAAUCACUGGGCGUAAAGCGCGCGCAGGUGGCUUGGAAAGUCAGAGGUGAAAUCCCGGAGCUUAACUUCGGAAUUGCCUUUGGAACUCUCAGGCUAGAGUAUGGUAGAGGAUGGCGGAAUUCCUAGUGUAGAGGUGAAAUUCGUAGAUAUUAGGAGGAACACCAGUGGCGAAGGCGGCCAUCUGGGCCAUUACUGACACUGAGGCGCGAAAGCGUGGGGAGCAAACAGG